AGCGAACGCUGGCGGCAGGCCUAACACAUGCGAGUCGAACGAACUCUUCGGAGUUAGUGGCGGACGGGUGGGUAACACGUGGGAACGUGCCUUUAGGUUCGGAAUAACUCAGGGAAACUUGUGCUAAUACCGAAUGUGCCCUUCGGGGGAAAGAUUUAUCGCCUUUAGAGCGGCCCGCGUCUGAUUAGCUAGUUGGUGAGGUAAAGGCUCACCAAGGCGACGAUCAGUAGCUGGUCUGAGAGGAUGAUCAGCCACAUUGGGACUGAGACACGGCCCAAACUCCUACGGGAGGCAGCAGUGGGGAAUCUUGCGCAAUGGGCGAAAGCCUGACGCAGCCAUGCCGCGUGAAUGAUGAAGGUCUUAGGAUUGUAAAAUUCUUUCACCGGGGACGAUAAUGACGGUACCCGGAGAAGAAGCCCCGGCUAACUUCGUG
Molecule: ribosomal RNA, 433 nt
Filed under: uncultured bacterium
Lineage: Bacteria
Description: partial 16S ribosomal RNA
Rfam family: Bacterial small subunit ribosomal RNA
Source: RNAcentral